UACGUAGGGUGCAAGCGUUGUCCGGAAUUAUUGGGCGUAAAGAGCUCGUAGGCGGUUUGUCGCGUCUGCUGUGAAAACUCGGGGCUUAACCCCGAGCCUGCAGUGGAUACGGGCAGACUAGAGGUAGGUAGGGGAGAAUGGAAUUCCCGGUGUAGCGGUGAAAUGCGCAGAUAUCGGGAGGAACACCGGUGGCGAAGGCGGUUCUCUGGGCCUUACCUGACGCUGAGGAGCGAAAGCGUGGGGAGCGAA
Molecule: ribosomal RNA, 249 nt
Filed under: uncultured bacterium
Lineage: Bacteria
Description: partial 16S ribosomal RNA
Rfam family: Bacterial small subunit ribosomal RNA
Source: RNAcentral